CUUCCACAACACUUCGACGUCUCUUCACAUCAUAAAAAAUAUUUUUCAUGUGAUCUCCUUAGCAUGUUAAAUGACACACAACACUUCAAUGUACUUAAAAGUCGUUUUAGAAAGUAUGCUAAACAUUAUUUAAUCUAUGUAAAGAAAACAUCAACUUUAUAUAUUAUAAAGCGUUCGAAUCCUUUUCUGUUUAUAAUAAUAUCAUAAUUAUGAAGUUAUUUUAUGUUUUGAUCUACUUUAUUUCUCUAUUUCUUGUUAUAAAUGUUCAAGCAUUUUUCGAUUGUGAGAAUCAUGAUGACUGUAAAAACAAAAUUAAGUAUGUGCUUCCUCGGAUUGCGGAAUGUCGCGAUUACAAAUGUAAUUGUUUUCCUUUAAAUCUUUCAAAAACUCUUUGGAGUGCAAGUACAAAGAGAGUGCACAAAAGUCUUGCUCAAACGAAUGAUUUCUUGCACUAGAAAAAGAUCAAUUAAAAAUUGUUUAUGAUAAAAUUAUCAUGGUAUGUGAUUUAAUAAGUUUGUUGACACCUAAUAAUUAGUUAUUUUUCCUUUCCUAUUUUUAAAGAUCAUGGAGUUAUGGAUUUGUAUUCUUAUAUGAUUUUAAUGAAAAUAUAUAUAGUAUUAAAUAUUAUUAUUUAGAUUGUCUUCAUUCCUCUAAUCUCACUUAACACCCUAAAUCUUAUCUAGGUUUUACUAAUUAUAACUCAAAAAUAGACUCUUGCAUUUACUUAAGAUGAUUGUAGGAUACAAUGAAUUCUUAAGAAGUUUUAGUUGUUCUUUUGGUCCUCGUAUUUUUCAAACUAAAAAAUAGUCCCAUCUUUUUAAAAUGAACCUUUUGGUUUCUAAAUUAUAUAAUUUUUAAAAUUUUUUGUGCCAACCUUGAUUUGAACAAUAGUUUUUUUCUCUCUAGAAAAGGUGAUUAUUGCCUCCAUAAGUGGUACUUCUGUUAAGGGUCAAGAUUACGGUUAAAAUCAAUACAUUAGGGCCCAAAAAUCACUGGCACGAAAAAUAACAAAAAUUAUAAUAAACGAGGGGGAAAAGUUCAAUUUUAAAUAUGGGGGACUAUUUCUUUGAAUGUCAUUGAAUAGGAGGAGAAAAAUUCAAUUAAUUUAAUAUUUCCCCCCGGUCCUUUUAAUAUAAGAAGAAAAAACAAAAAAAACACAAAAACCAAUACAAUUAUUAAUUGUUACAACUUUUUAAAUAAUUUUACAAAUAUAUCCCUAUAGAAAGUUGUGAACCAUUAAAUACAUUCACUAAUAUUGAAAAGACAAAUAUUAAAUGAAGGAUAUAAAAGUCUUUUAUGCAAUAACUACACCUUAAAACUUGUGACAAUUACUUAUAAAUAGGACCAAAUUUUUUUUUGAAAAUUUUCUUAUAAUAAGGAUCGGAGGGAGUAUUCUUAAAAGUUUUUUUUUUUUUUUGGUACAUAGUAUUCUUAAAAGUUAUUUAAUACAAUUAAUAAUCUAAAACAGAUAACUCCUUAAACUACAUUAUUUUAACGGGCGACGGAAGUUGUGAAAGUAUGAAACAAUUAGUUGCAAGUAGGAGGGCAUAUGUGUCUUUACCACUUCCUAGUAUAUAAUGCUAUACUCCCUUAUUAUUUUUUCAUUCUUCUGUUUCCUACACUUAACAAAAGCAAUCAGAAAACAACAUAUCCAUUUGCUGAACUUCAUAUCCUUCCCCACCUCACUUCAUCCAAACUCUCUUUUCCCAAAGUCAACAUGCAAUCAUACAUAAUUCAUCCCUAUAACAAGUGAAUACAUCAAUUAAGUCUUGAACUCCUUUUUCUAUCUCUUUGGCCGAAAAUGUAACAAUUCAUUUUUUCUAGAAUUAUUUUAAUUAUUUAUUAUGUGUGUUAUAUGCGUUUGUGUGUGAUUAAUUGUCUCUGUGUGUAUUUUAUUUGGGAUUUGUGGAUUUUUGGCCUAUAAGGGUAUUUUAGUCAUUUUUAUACUCAAUGGUAUGUUGGUCAUUUAAUUUUGUGAGCAAGGGUAAAUUAUUCAUUUUAUUAGAAGGUUAUUUUUGGUGUUUUCAGUGAGAAUAGUUAUUUUUACUGAGUUACAAGUGAGUUGAAAUAAUUAUUUAGAGACGGUAAUUAUUCAUUAUUUU
RNAcentral lists this long non-coding RNA (2102 nucleotides) under Medicago truncatula (barrel medic). Its description in RNAcentral is "lncRNA gene9595". Lineage: Eukaryota; Viridiplantae; Streptophyta; Magnoliopsida; Fabales; Fabaceae. The record is from RNAcentral.